RNAcentral lists this ribosomal RNA (496 nucleotides) under uncultured bacterium. RNAcentral describes it as "partial 16S ribosomal RNA". It matches the Rfam family "Bacterial small subunit ribosomal RNA", at positions 34 to 507 of the family's 1533-position model. The record is from RNAcentral.
CUGCCCGCUGGCGGCGUGCCUCAUACAUGCAAGUCGAGCGAACAGACGAGGAGAUUGCUCCUCUGACGUUAGCGGCGGACGGGUGAGUAACACGUGGAUAACCUACCUAUAAGACUGGGAUAACUUCGGGAAACCGGAGCUAAUACCGGAUAAUAUAUUGAACCGCAUGGUUCAAUAGUGAAAGACGGUUUUGCUGUCACUUAUAGAUGGAUCCGCGCCGCAUUAGCUAGUUGGUAAGGUAACGGCUUACCAAGGCAACGAUGCGUAGCCGACCUGAGAGGGUGAUCGGCCACACUGGAACUGAGACACGGUCCAGACUCCUACGGGAGGCAGCAGUAGGGAAUCUUCCGCAAUGGGCGAAAGCUUGACGGAGCAACGCCGCGUGAGUGAUGAAGGUCUUCGGAUCGUAAAACUCUGUUAUUAGGGAAGAACAAAUGUGUAAGUAACUAUGCACGUCUUGACGGUACCUAAUCAGAAAGCCACGGCUAACUACGUG